Molecule: long non-coding RNA, 321 nt
Organism: Saccostrea echinata
Lineage: Eukaryota; Metazoa; Mollusca; Bivalvia; Ostreida; Ostreidae
Exons: 3
Source: RefSeq, a predicted model, not a curated record
CUAAGUAUAAAGAUACCUAAGCAUUGCUAUUGACGAAGUGAACUAAAUCAAAGUGUGCAAUGGCUUGUCCAGGAUGCAAAAACGGAGGAAGUGCUUUCAAGUGCGACAAAUGUGGAGUCAUACAAUGCAAGAACAAGUCCUGUACACACCACAGCCCCAAGGCCGGGAGCGGAUGUGCAUCCUGUGGAAAGUCGGGGGGACAGAAAAAGGUGUAAAAUGAAGAGUCUUACUGCACAUCAUACUUAGACGGGCAGCCAGCGUUUAAUGUUUUGUACAUUAUGUGUUGUUCUAGCGUAAAAUAAAAAAAAUGGUGAUACUAAA